UGGUGAAUUAGGGUUUUCAAGUAUUGCA
This 28-nucleotide non-coding RNA is filed under the name Mus musculus (house mouse). The record is from RNAcentral. Lineage: Eukaryota; Metazoa; Chordata; Mammalia; Rodentia; Muridae.